This 498-nucleotide ribosomal RNA is filed under the name uncultured bacterium. RNAcentral describes it as "partial 16S ribosomal RNA". It matches the Rfam family "Bacterial small subunit ribosomal RNA", at positions 28 to 507 of the family's 1533-position model. The record is from RNAcentral.
GACGAACGCUGGCGGCGUGCCUAAUACAUGCAAGUCGAGCGAACCAAUAAGAAGCUUGCUUUUUGUUGGUUAGCGGCGGACGGGUGAGUAACACGUGGGUAACCUGCCUGUAAGACCGGGAUAACUCCGGGAAACCGGUGCUAAUACCGGAUAGAUUAUCGUUCCGCAUGGAGAGAUAAGGAAAGAUGGCUAUUGCCAUCACUUACAGAUGGUCCCGCGGCGCAUUAGCUAGUUGGUGAGGUAACGGCUUACCAAGGCGACGAUGCGUAGCCGACCUGAGGGGGUGAUCGGCCACACUGGAACUGAGACACGGCCCAGACUCCUACGGGAGGCAGCAGUAGGGAAUCUUCCGCAAUGGACGAAAGUCUGACGGAGCAACGCCGCGUGAGCGAAGAAGGUCUUCGGAUCGUAAAGCUCUGUUGUUAGGGAAGAACAGGUUUCGGAGGAAAUGCCGGGACCGUGACGGUACCUGACGAGAAAGCCACGGCUAACUACGUG